AUUGAACGCUAGCGGGAUGCUUUACACAUGCAAGUCGAACGGCAGCGCGGACUUCGGUCUGGCGGCGAGUGGCGAACGGGUGAGUAAUGUAUCGGAACGUGCCCAGUAGCGGGGGAUAACUACGCGAAAGCGUAGCUAAUACCGCAUACGCCCUACGGGGGAAAGCAGGGGAUCGUAAGACCUUGCACUAUUGGAGCGGCCGAUAUCGGAUUAGCUAGUUGGUGAGGUAACGGCUCACCAAGGCGACGAUCCGUAGCUGGUUUGAGAGGACGACCAGCCACACGGGGAAGGGGACACGGCCCCAACCCCUACGGGAGGGCGGAGGGGGGAAUUUUGGAAAAUGGGGGCAACCCUGUCCCAGCCACCCCGCGUGUGCGAAGAAGGCCUUGGGGUUGAAAAGCACUUUUGGGAGGAAAAAAACGUCGCGGGCUAAUACCCCGGGGAACUGGCGGUACCUGCAGAAUAAGCCCCGGCUAACUACGU
This 483-nucleotide ribosomal RNA is filed under the name uncultured bacterium. RNAcentral describes it as "partial 16S ribosomal RNA". It matches the Rfam family "Bacterial small subunit ribosomal RNA", at positions 29 to 506 of the family's 1533-position model. The record is from RNAcentral.